This 173-nucleotide ribosomal RNA is filed under the name Garra fasciacauda. RNAcentral describes it as "partial 12S rRNA". The record is from RNAcentral. Lineage: Eukaryota; Metazoa; Chordata; Actinopteri; Cypriniformes; Cyprinidae.
CACCGCGGUUAGACGAGAGGCCCUAGUUGAUUAUAUAACGGCGUAAAGGGUGGUUAAGGAUAAGAAAAAAUAAAGCCAAAUGGCCCUUUGGCCGUCAUACGCUUCUAGGUGUCCGAGGCCCCAACACGAAAGUAGCUUUAAUAAACUCACCUGAACCCACGAAAACUGAGAAA